Molecule: small nuclear RNA, 21 nt
Filed under: Arabidopsis thaliana (thale cress)
Lineage: Eukaryota; Viridiplantae; Streptophyta; Magnoliopsida; Brassicales; Brassicaceae
Description: snRNA_06599
Source: RNAcentral
CCUGUCGCACCACGAGGCGCU